GGAGGCGCUCAGAAGACAGCAUAUUGCAGUUGUUAGGCAAGAACAAAGUAGUGACGGUACAUGAGAAAAGAAGAAUGUAAGGGUUACUGGGCAGGAAAACAAACAGAACUUGGUACUGUUUGUUUGGGGAUGUAAAAGGCAGAGUAGAUUUUAAAAUUUAAAGUCUGGGUGUCCAGCAAGGAAGAUAGAAAUUUGGAGGAGAAGUAGGUGUAUCAGCAAGAUGAAAACUGAGCCAGAGCUGGAGAACCAGGCGCAGAAAACAAGAGGCAACCGAGUGUGGCAGGCAGCCCAGAACUGCUACAAGCCCACUCCGGCCACAGGAGCUUUUGGUGCGAAUGCCACCACGAUGCUGCCUGCAGGGGGAGCUCGCCAUGGCUGAUGCUGCACCCUCGGCCCUGAGACAGCGCGGCUUCCACCUCCAGAAGUGAUUUCUGACUGACCCAGGCUGAAGCCUCUGACUGACAGGGCGCAGGCUAGGAUGCGGAGGCCGAGCAGAAGAAAUUGACCACUGUUCAAUAAAGCAGUGAGGAAGGUAGGAGCCCCAAAAUAUCUGAGACAGGUCUCAAUCAAUUUAGAAAGUUUUUUUCGCCAAGGUUAAGGACGCAUCUGUGACACAGCCUUCAGGAGAGCCUGAUGACAUGCCCAAGGUGGUCGGUGCACAACUUGUUUUGUACAUUGUAGGGAGAGAUAAUCCAUCAAUUAAUACAUGUAAGAUUCACAUUGGUUCUAUCUGGAGGGAGGGACAACUCAAAGCAGGGUGGCGGGCCUUCCAGGUAGAUUUAAAAUUUUCCCGUUUGGCAAUUGGUUGAAAGAGUUAUUAUUGGUAGAAAGAACUGUCUGGGAGCAAGGAGAAGGAGGUGGUGGUGGAGGGAAGUGUUGGGAACAGACAGGGAAAUGAGGACAAGCAAAUCCUGGAGGGGCUCCUUUAAUACAAGUUAAUAUUUAAAGGUGUUUAUCAUAAGCAAGUGUUACGCCCAAAACUGUGGGGUAUUCAAACAUGGGGAAGACAGGUCAUGACUUCAAUGAGCUGAUGAGCUACCAGGCAUCGGAGUAGAUGACCUUUAAUGUUCGUUCAACCUUAAAUAUGCUAGAACUUAAUAUUUUUAACGCAAAUAUCAAUAAAAAUCAAGUGAGGAUUUAAUAAGGUCAAAUAAUAAAAAUUGCAUUGGGAGUUCAGAGCAGGAGGCAGACACUUCCAGCUGGGAAGGUUUCAGGGAGGAAGCAGAAUCUUAAAGGAUAAGGAGACUUAGUGGGGACAAUGAGCAUUUGGAGGGUUUGCCAAAGAAAACAAAAGGUAUAAAACUAUGACACACACACACAGACACACACACAUAUACAAACCAGAUGUCAGAGUAGACAUUUAUCAGUUGUGAGGCUUCCCAGCAUCUGAAUCUCUUGAGGUUCCCCAUCUUAUGAGUCACAGCUAUGACUCUAAGAGCUGAAAGAUCAGAUGCUCACUUUCUCUGUCAUCUUUAAGUCUAGGGCACAGGCGCACAGCUUGGCUUUCUCAAUUAGGGACACUCAGGGGCCGGGUGCGGUGGCUCACGCCUGUAAUCCCAGCACUUUGGGAGGCUGAGGCGGGUGGAUCAAGAGGUCAGGAGUUCGAGACCAGCCUGGCCAACAUGGUGAAACCUCAUCUCCACCAAAAAAUACAAAAAUCAGCUAGGUGUGGUGGCGUGUACUUGUAAUCCCAGCUUUUUUGGGAGGCUGAGGCAGGAGAAUUGCUUGAACCCAGGAGGCGGAGGUUGCAGUGAGCUGAGAUCACACCACUGCACUCCAGCCUGGGCAACAGAGUGAGACUCUGUCUUGAAAAAAAAAAAGUAAGGACACUCAGCCUCUGCGUUUAACAGUGGCAGUUGCUUCCCUGGUUCUGUGGCAUGAUUUUGCCUGUGUCCCACUUUCCCUAGAUUCAUUCUCACAGCCUGGUUUUCCACCAUUUCCAGCAAUUCUGCAAGCUAUCUGAAAUCCUUUCAUUAAAUUUCUUUUCUUUUUAAAUUAGCUAUAUUUAUUUUCUGUUUCUGGCAAUUAAAAAUACUGACUGAUAGAAAUGUGAUCAUCCUGACAGAUGAAUGUGACCAUGGAAAAGCUUGUGAUCCAGCUUAAUUGAAAAAUUGGGGGGAUAUAUUAGCCAAAGUUAUAUUAGGGAAACAGCUCUCUAAAUAUGUCAAGUAAAACGUAUUUAAUAUGGAAAACUAGAAGAUUAUACAGUCUGGAAGGUCCAAGGGAGCAAAGAUCUGAGAAGCCACUGUUGCAAUUCAAGAAAUUUAGGGUUGCGUGGGUUGCAGAAACCACUACUGAGGAUCUCAGCUCUGCAGCACCAAAGUGAUUCUCAGGCACAUGCCUGGAAAUCUGAGGGAGGUCUUCCCAGAUGUCUGCCAUCUGCCAGUGCUCAUGAGCUUGCCUCUAGCUGCAGCUGGAGAAAAAUGGCUUCUCCUUUAUUACCUUGCAAAUCUCAUACAAGUGUCCCUCAUCAGUAGAUUCUAAACUGAAACUCCACUGACAAAGGGAGUCUGGGAAAUGUAACUUUCCAAUUUCCAGUCCUGCCAUAAAAGGAAGAGUUUAGAAGGAUGGUCACUGGGAGAAUGGGAGAUAACUGUUCCCCUUCUAAGGUGUGGCGUGGGGGACAUGCAAAAAUGCCUGGAUUCAACUCUCUUCUCUUCUUUAAGCUUCCUCACUCUCCUAUUCCCACUACAUCUGCCAAACCAGUAAUUUCACUGAGACUUCCAGAACAUCGAUAACCCGAUUUUCUCUAGUCCGUCAGCUCCUUCCACCUUUCUUGCAAUCUUCAACUCCCUUGCCUCCUUUUCUUCCAACAGUUGCUUCUCUAUACUGCGAAAAAUCCUAACAUUGUUUCAAUCCACCUGUUUGGUUCUUAGGUACAAGCUGGCAGGUAUCAUUGGGGGAAAAAAUCCUACACCAUGCAGAUUGGUGUCAUUAGUAGUUUAUAGCUUCUAAUCAGUCCCAAGUAAGCUACAGUUCUCAUUCCCCACAACUACUGUUUCAAGCUUAGUAAUACACCUAUCAAGUCUGACUAUCCUGUCUCCUCCCCAGCCUGCACACUCUCUAAGCAAUGGCCUUGUCUCCUACUCCACAGGGAAAAUAAGUAACCUACACUUGAACUUUUCCAUGUGUUCCCUUCCUCCCCUGCACAUAAAACCUACAAACUUCUCUGUACAGUCUCCAGUCUUACCACUUUCCUCCCUGUGUUGGAGGAGGCAGACUUCUCCUGCUUAAGGCUGAAUUUCCCAUCUGUGCUAUAGAUCAUUGGCAAUCUUCGUAUCAGUUAUCACCUCUCUUGCAGAAUUGCCUCAAAUGCUGUCUCUUUCCUGCCUCAGUCCCUUCACUAUAUAACAAUGCUCAAUUCACACACAUCUUUAAAAAAAGAUGGGAGGAGGGAGUGAGGGGGAAGUUCCCUUAACUCUACACCUUCCCAUUUCCCUUUCUUUCUGCUCUUAUCCAUAGACAAGCUACCUGGCUUCCUGGCUACCCGGAAGAGUCGUUGUCUACACUCAGUCACUGUUUCCACUAACCUCACACUGGGAGACCUUAGAGCAUAUUAUUUAAGAGCUCAGUUUUUGAGAUGGUCAACCUGGGUUCAAAUUCUGCUAGGACCACUUACUUAGCUUUAUGACCUAGUACAAGUCACUUAGACUUUGCAAGUCUCUGAUUAUUAUCUUAAAUUAGGGAUAAUCAUAACUUCUCAGUGUUGUAUGCAAAGUCCUAAGCACAGUGUCUGGAAUGUAGUAAGUGUACAUUCAAUGUAACAAGUGUACAUUCAAUGUAACCUGCUACUAUUUAUUCCUUGCACCUCUGCAACCUGGUUGCUCCUCUUCUACUGUUGACACUGCCCCCAUCAAGGCCUCCAGUGAUCUUCUAGUUGCUAAAACUUAUUAAUGUUUUUCCAUUUUUUAAGACAAUAUUUUAUUUAAUUUCUUCAAGGUGUUACAUACUGUUGACUCCUCCCUCUUAAAAUACAGUCUUUUUUUUUUUUUUUUUUUUUUUUUUUUUGAGAUGUAGUCUCGCUCUGUCACCCAGGCUGGAGUGCAGUGGCAUGAUCUCGGCUCACUGCAACCUCUGCCUCUCGGGUUCAAGCAAAUCUACUGCCUCAGCCUCCUGAGUACCUGGGAUUACAGGUGCCCACCAAAGCACCCAGCUAAUUUUUGUAUUUUUUUUUAGUAGAGACG
This 4184-nucleotide long non-coding RNA is filed under the name Homo sapiens (human). RNAcentral describes it as "HSALNT0042104". Lineage: Eukaryota; Metazoa; Chordata; Mammalia; Primates; Hominidae. The record is from RNAcentral.